CAUUAAACAGUGACAGUUUAUGCCUUUGGUUAUUUGGGAACCUCAUCUGGUAUAGAAUAAUUCAAAUCCAUUUAUUAAGAGACCAUUUAUUUUUCAUGCCAGGGAGAGAGCAGGAGCUCGUAAGGUUGGAGCCAAUGGAUCUUUGAAGAAUGGAGCUGGCAAAAUGGGGAGACAGGGCUAUUUCUGAUGCAAGCCACAGAAAUCUACACAAAUGAACUGAAGCAAAACUAGGUGUGUGUGGGAAUUUAAAGCAGAAGAGUGGCUAGGCCACGUGGAGGCUUGGAAAAGUAUCAGAAAACUUGCCAGAGGGGCUGGCCCCGUGGCUGAGCGGUUAAGUUCGCGCGCUCCGCUGCAGGCGGCCCAGUGUUUCUUUGGUUCGAAUCCUGGGCGUGGACAUGACACUGCUCAUCAAACCACGCUGAGGCAGCGUCCCACAUGCCACAACUAGAAGGACCCAC
Molecule: long non-coding RNA, 458 nt
Filed under: Equus caballus (horse)
Lineage: Eukaryota; Metazoa; Chordata; Mammalia; Perissodactyla; Equidae
Description: lncRNA (ENSECAG00000044761.1)
Source: RNAcentral